Argiope bruennichi is the source of this 70-nucleotide small nucleolar RNA. Lineage: Eukaryota; Metazoa; Arthropoda; Arachnida; Araneae; Araneidae. The record is from RefSeq and is a predicted model, not a curated record.
UUUUAGUGAUGAAUGACAUUUGUCAGUUCUGCUACUGAAUAGAAGUGAAGACAAAAUAUUUCUGAUAAGA